GCGGCGGACGGGUGAGUAACACGUGGGCAACCUGCCUUAUACAGGGGGAUAACAUAUUGAAAAGUAUGCUAAUACCGCAUAAGCGCACAGCAUCACAUGAUGCAGUGUGAAAAACUCUACCACUUACAGAUGGACCCGCGUCUGAUUAGCUAGUAGGUGAGGUAAUGGCUCACCUAGGCGACGAUCAGUAGCCGACCUGAGAGGGUGAUCGGCCACAUUGGGACUGAGACACGGCCCAAACUCCUACGGGAGGCAGCAGUGGGGAAUAUUGCACAAUGGGGGAAACCCUGAUGCAGCGACGCCGCGUGAAGGAUGAAGGUUUUCGGAUCGUAAACUUCUAUCAGCAGGGACGAUAAUGACGGUACCUGACUAAGAAGCCCCGGCUAACUACGUGCCAGCAGCCGCGGUAAUACGUAGGGGGCAAGCGUUAUCCGGAAUUACUGGGUGUAAAGGGUGCGUAGGCGGUAAUGUAAGUCAGGUGUGAAAGCCCGAAGCUCAACUUCGGGAUUGCACUUGAAACUACAUAACUAGAGUACAGGAGAGGUGAGUGGAAUUCCUAGUGUAGCGGUGAAAUGCGUAGAUAUUAGGAGGAACACCAGUGGCGAAGGCGGCUUUCUGGACUGUAACUGACGCUGAGGCACGAAAGCGUGGGGAGCAAACAGGAUUAGAUACCCUGGUAGUCCACGCUGUAAACGAUGAAUACUAGGUGUCGGGGGUCAAAGCCCGGUGCCGCAGCUAACGCAUUAAGUAUUCCGCCUGGGGAGUACGGUCGCAAGACUGAAACUCAAAGGAAUUGACGGGGGCCCGCACAAGCAGCGGAGCAUGUGGUUUAAUUCGAAGCAACGCGAAGAACCUUACCAGGUCUUGACAUCCCUCUGAAUGGCGCUUAGCAGCGCAGGUCUUUCGGGACAGAGGAGACAGGUGGUGCAUGGUUGUCGUCAGCUCGUGUCGUGAGAUGUUGGGUUAAGUCCUGCAACGAGCGCAACCCUUAUCUUUAGUUGCCAGCAUGUAAUGAUGGGGACUCUAAAGGGACUGCCGGUGACAAACCGGAGGAAGGUGGGGAUGACGUCAAAUCAUCAUGCCCCUUAUGAUCUGGGCUACACACGUGCUACAAUGGCUGAAACAAAGGGAUGCAACAACGUAAGUUUAGCAAACCCCAGAAAAGUCGUCCCAGUUCGGAUUGUAGUCUGCAACUCGACUACAUGAAGUUGGAAUCGCUAGUAAUCGCGAAUCAGAAUGUCGCGGUGAAUUCGUUCCCGGGUCUUGUACACACCGCCCGUCACCCCAUGGGAGUUGGGAGCGCCCGAAGCCGGUAUUCUAACCGUAAGGAGGAAGCCGUCUAAGGCGAGACCAAUGACUG
This 1360-nucleotide ribosomal RNA is filed under the name uncultured bacterium. RNAcentral's name for it is "bacterial SSU rRNA". It matches the Rfam family "Bacterial small subunit ribosomal RNA". The record is from RNAcentral.